This is a long non-coding RNA of Mirounga angustirostris (Northern elephant seal), 485 nucleotides long. RefSeq lists it as uncharacterized. Lineage: Eukaryota; Metazoa; Chordata; Mammalia; Carnivora; Phocidae. The record is from RefSeq and is a predicted model, not a curated record. The transcript has 3 exons.
ACUCCCUGCCGAGCAGGGAACCCGAUGCGGGACUCAAUCCCGGGACUCCAGGAUCAUGACCUGAGCCGAAGGCAGUCGCCCAACCAACUGAGCCACCCAGGCGCCCAAUAAACUUCUUUUGAGGAAAGGGUGGGAUCCUUUGGUUAAGUUUCCUGAACAAAGAAAAAGUAAUUACUAGUAAGGCAAGAAAUGUGGGAGUGGUCUUGUGGGUUCUUGCAACUAGACAGGCCCAUAAAAGCUGGAGAAGGAAUUAGAAACCAACAGAAAAACUGCAUCCACCUAUUCGAUCAACGUUUACUGAAUUCUUAUUUUGGACAAGGCCCCGUGCUAGUAGGUGGAAAUAUGAAGAGACCUAAUGGCAGAAGAGAAAACUAGAAAGACAACCAAAAUGACCGAGAUUUUGGGAAUUCUAUUGCAUGAGGAUUGACCCAAAUUAACUGAAAUCCCGCAUUUUAUGUGGCAAGGGUUAAGUGAAAUGUCAAUAU